GAGUUCAAGCCCCACAACUGACAAAAAAAAAAAAAAAAAGAUUAGCAUGGCCCCUGCACAAGGAUGACACGCAAAUUCGUGAAGCGUUCCAUAUUUUU
Small nuclear RNA from Dipodomys ordii (Ord's kangaroo rat), 98 nucleotides. The record is from Ensembl. Lineage: Eukaryota; Metazoa; Chordata; Mammalia; Rodentia; Heteromyidae.